AGAUUUGAUCCUGGCUCAGGAUGAACGCUAGCGGCAGGCCUAAUACAUGCAAGUCGGACGGGAUUGAGGAGCUUGCUUCUCAUGAGAGUGGCGCACGGGUGCGUAACACGUAUGUAACCUACCUUGUUCAGGGGGAUAGCCUCUCGAAAGAGAGAUUAAGACCGCAUAAAAUCACAUUGCAGCAUUGCAAAAUGAUCAAAUAUUUAUAGGAACAAGAUGGGCAUGCGGAACAUUAGCUAGUUGGUAAGGUAACGGCUUACCAAGGCUACGAUGUUUAGGGGAUCUGAGAGGAUGACCCCCCACACUGGUACUGAGACACGGACCAGACUCCUACGGGAGGCAGCAGUAAGGAAUAUUGGUCAAUGGGCGGAAGCCUGAACCAGCCAUGCCGCGGGAGGGAAAGACGGCCCUACGGGUUGUAAACUGCUUUUAUACGGGAAUAAACCUGAUUACGUGUGAUCAGCUGAAUGUACUGUAAGAAUAAGGAUCGGCUAACUCCGUGCCAGCAGCCGCGGUAAUACGGAGGAUCCAAGCGUUAUCCGGAUUUAUUGGGUUUAAAGGGUGCGUAGGUGGCCUGUUAAGUCAGGGGUGAAAGACGGUAGCUCAACUAUCGCAGUGCCCUUGAUACUGAUGGGCUUGAAUGAACUAGAGGUAGGCGGAAUGUGACAAGUAACGGUGAAAUGCAUAGAUAUGUCACAGAACACCAAUUGCGAAGGCAGCUCACUAUGGUUUUAUUGACACUGAGGCACGAAAGCGUGGGGAUCAACAGGAUAGAUACCCUGGUAGUCCUCGCCCUUAAACGAUGAAUAUUCGAUGUGGCGAUAUACGUCAGCGCUAAGCGAAGCUUUAAG
Molecule: ribosomal RNA, 851 nt
Filed under: uncultured bacterium
Lineage: Bacteria
Description: bacterial SSU rRNA
Rfam family: Bacterial small subunit ribosomal RNA
Source: RNAcentral